GAUGAACGCUGGCGGCGUGCCUAAUACAUGCAAGUCGAACGAUCAGACGCGGAGCUUGCUGAUCGGACGUUUGCCGCGGGCGGGAGAGAAACACAAGGAUCCCCUCCAUAUAGGACUGGGAUAUCUUCGGGAACCCGGAGCUAAUACGGGCUAAUAUAUUGAACCGCAUGGUUCAAUAGUGAAAGACAGUUUUGCUGGCGCUUGUAGAUGGAUCUGAGCCGCAUGUGGUAGUUGGUAAGGUAAAGGCUUACCAAGGCAACGAUGCGUAGCCGAACUGAGAGGAUGAUCGGCCACACUGGAACUGAGACACGGCCCAGACUCCUACGGGAGGCAGCAGUAGGGAAUCUUACGCAAUGGGAGAAAGCUUGACCGAGCAACGCCGCGUGAGGGAAGAAGGUCUUCGGAUCGUAAAAUUCUGUUAUUAGGUAAGAAAAAAUGUGUAAGUAACGAUGCACGUAAUGACGGUACCUAAUCAGAAAGCCACGGCUAACUACGUG
RNAcentral lists this ribosomal RNA (497 nucleotides) under uncultured bacterium. RNAcentral describes it as "partial 16S ribosomal RNA". It matches the Rfam family "Bacterial small subunit ribosomal RNA", at positions 28 to 507 of the family's 1533-position model. The record is from RNAcentral.